This 484-nucleotide ribosomal RNA is filed under the name uncultured bacterium. RNAcentral's name for it is "partial 16S ribosomal RNA". It matches the Rfam family "Bacterial small subunit ribosomal RNA", at positions 30 to 507 of the family's 1533-position model. The record is from RNAcentral.
AUUGAACGCUGGCGGCAGGCCUAACACAUGCAAGUCGAGCGGAUGAAGGGAGCUUGCUCCUGGAUUCAGCGGCGGACGGGUGAGUAAUGCCUAGGAAUCUGCCUGGUAGUGGGGGAUAACGUCCGGAAACGGGCGCUAAUACCGCAUACGUCCUGAGGGAGAAAGUGGGGGAUCUUCGGACCUCACGCUAUCAGAUGAGCCUAGGUCGGAUUAGCUAGUUGGUGGGGUAAAGGCCUACCAAGGCGACGAUCCGUAACUGGUCUGAGAGGAUGAUCAGUCACACUGGAACUGAGACACGGUCCAGACUCCUACGGGAGGCAGCAGUGGGGAAUAUUGGACAAUGGGCGAAAGCCUGAUCCAGCCAUGCCGCGUGUGUGAAGAAGGUCUUCGGAUUGUACAGCACUUUAAGUUGGGAGGAAGGGCAGUAAGUUAAUACCUUGCUGUUUUGACGUUACCAACAGAAUAAGCACCGGCUAACUUCGUG